This is a long non-coding RNA of Bombus impatiens (common eastern bumble bee), 1297 nucleotides long. RefSeq lists it as uncharacterized. Lineage: Eukaryota; Metazoa; Arthropoda; Insecta; Hymenoptera; Apidae. The transcript has 2 exons. The record is from RefSeq and is a predicted model, not a curated record.
AAUAUAUUAAUACGAACAUAAACCAUCUUCUUCACCCGUUGAGAAACUACGAUCGUUAGGGUGAAAUGUUAGGGAGUUAAUUGGAUUAAAGUGUCCUUUUAAACGCGCAAACUUUUCAAAUACUAAAUGAAAGAAUCAGGAAUUGACGUUUCUUUGCAGUGAACGUGCACAUCCAAAAUCCAUUUCUUUGGUUCUACCCCGUGUAUUUUACGCGGUUCUUUGAUGCCAUAUUGGUUUCUAUUCACGAUUCAUCCAAUGAGGAGAGUCGCUGACUGUAAAUAAAUAUGAAAUAAAACACGUUGGUAACGGCCAUUUUGAGCGGGAUUUUGAAUCGUGAGUAUCGGAUCAGUUUUGAGUUAUCCUUUACUUUCCUGCUGCCGUGAGGACAAUACAUCCUGUACCUCGUCCAAUGUACUAUUACAGUGUUACGUGUGACGAUAUCCCAUAAGAUGACAAAUUCGUUAUCGCUUGCGACGUGACGAUUGAAUUGAAUAUAAUUUUCAUAUUUGUUGUAGCAAAUCCUAGAAAACGUAAGAGACACACUGAUUUUUCUCGUGAUCGGUAUUUCAGAAUGUGAGAUACAAAUGAAUAAAUAAAUUCCAUAAUAAAUCCCGUAUAGUGUCAGGUCUAUUCUGUAUUUAGUCAAUGAUUAAGUCAAUGACUCGACACAGAUAAAAUUAAAAUUACCGUCCCAUUGAUACGCUUAUGUAACGAUGCAGCACGUCAUUCACACGAUGAGUAUGUUAGAUAUACGUAUAUUGCGAAAGAAUGAUAACGGUUUGACUCAACAUACUAAAAUUUAUUAUCACAGGUUCAAUGUAUAUUGUCGGAUGACAGUUAAAGACUAAAAUGUAAAAAAAUAAGAUUAAAAAUUAUUCAAUGUUCCCUAGAAAUCAGCAAACUUGUUCACGCGGACGUAUGCAAGUAUAAGAUCCUCUAACCGUUAAUCCAAUGACGCAUAUCCAACAACUUAUUUUAUAUAAAAAAUAAAAGAGUAGAAGAUUAUGAAAAUCCUUUGACACUUUAUAAAAAAAGUUAUAGACUUCAAACCAGUCUACUCACAACAAUGUAUAAAAGAAUAUCAAAGCUCGCUCUAUGGAAUUUGCGAGUGCAGAUGAUUAAUGUUUCCUUAAUUAAUCCAACAAAUGAUCUGCAUAAUUGAAGAAGAAUAAUACAGAAAACAUAAAGUGCAUGAUACAUGCGAUAUCUCUUUCCUUCAGUUUCGUAAUCAAUUAGUUGUUGCUGACGAAAAUGUCGGAUGUACUAUUAGAGUAUAAAUAUAAUCUCGUAAACAAGA